RNAcentral lists this ribosomal RNA (253 nucleotides) under uncultured bacterium. Its description in RNAcentral is "partial 16S ribosomal RNA". It matches the Rfam family "Bacterial small subunit ribosomal RNA", at positions 524 to 776 of the family's 1533-position model. The record is from RNAcentral.
UACGGGGGGGGCAAGCGUUGUUCGGAAUUACUGGGCGUAAAGGGCGCGUAGGCGGCACGGCAAGUCAGGAGUGAAAGCCCGGGGCUCAACCCCGGAACUGCUUUUGAAACUGCCGAGCUAGAGUGCGGAAGGGGCAACCGGAAUUCCCAGUGUAGCGGUGAAAUGCGUAGAUAUUGGGAAGAACACCUGAGGCGAAGGCGGGUUGCUGGGCCGACACUGACGCUGAGGCGCGAAAGCCAGGGGAGCGAACGGG